This 27-nucleotide small RNA is filed under the name Bombyx mori (domestic silkworm). RNAcentral's name for it is "ovarian small RNA-36575". Lineage: Eukaryota; Metazoa; Arthropoda; Insecta; Lepidoptera; Bombycidae. The record is from RNAcentral.
UUACGUACUGUAUAUCACGUGGUUGAU